UGAAGCUGAAACACCUGUCAUCAUUUUAGUGUGGGAUUUUAGGUUUCAUGGCUAAAUUGGAGCAGCCUGGUGGCCAAUCAUCAUUAAUUGCACAUUAAUGCACAUUAUUGCACCAGUAAGAGCAGAGUGUGAAGGUUCAAUUAGCAGGGUAAGAGCACAGUUCUGCUCUAAAUAUUGCAAUGCACACAACAUUAUGAGUGAAAUACCAGAGUUCAAAAGAGGACAAAUUGUUGGUGCACGUCUUGCUGGAGCAUCUGUGACCAAGACAGCAAGUCUUUGUGAUGCAUCAAGAGCCACGGUAUCCAGGGUAAUGUCAGCAUACCACCAAGAAGGACCAACCACAUCCAACAGGAUUAACUGUGGACGCUGUAAGAGGAAUCUGUCUGAAAGGGAUCGCCAGAACUGUCCAUAGCCACAAUAAAUUAUUGUGGUCUAAAACCAGGUGUUUCAGUUUCAUUGUCCAACCCCUGUAGUAUAGCUAGUGGGAUACUAUGUACUCAUUUCAACAGAACUGUUCAUGAGAGAUGGAUUAGUGAUGUCGGCUUUAGAUUUCGGGCUUUACUUUUAUGGCUUUACUUCUGUGAUUUUCUCGUCCAGUGCCAUUUCAAAACUUAGAACGGUCCAAAAAAUGAUAGAGAUAAAGCAAAGAAACUUUCAUUUUCCUACACAAAAAGCUAUUCCAGGCCCAUUUUCAUCACGUAGUCUUUUUUUUAUCAGCACAACAUAUAAAACAUAUGGAAAAACAGGAAAACAAAGCCAGUCACAAUUACAAUUACAAAUCACACGAUUCUGCGCCGGCGCAGAACAGCCCUACAGUGGAAAACAGGCUAUAGCCAAACUGACUAGCUGACUAGCACAGGUUUAACCCAUUCACAAAGCCCAACAAAAGAAUCCUGAGCUUAAUCCUGUUAUGAUUUCUAUUAUUUUUAUUAUUAUUGCAUGGAAGAAAGAGAUCAUAUAUAUAUUUGAUGCCAGUAGGUACUUUUUCCAAUGCUUUUUUUGUGUCCUGACCAACGCAAACUGUGACAAAUGGGACUUUUGAUGUGUUUGCGUGUAUGCAUUCGAGUGUGUGUGUAUGUGUGUGUUUAUUCGUUUGCGUGUGCUGCCUUAUGUUCAUAUAGAGGAUUACUAUAUAUGGUGGUGGCCAGAUUAUGUAUAAUAUGUGGAUAUAUUGUGUAUUGGAGUCAUGAUCGUAUGAUGAAUGGCGUCUGGACGAGGCUAAGCGCUCAGAGCUUUGAUGACCUUGGCUGGUAUACAGUAGUCUUUUCUUAAUGUAAAGCUCCUCCUUCCUCUUUUAAUGGAAAGUAAUCGGGAUCGUGUUGUAGAGUUUUUGUCGUUUGAUGGAAAUUAAGUCGUCAGGACUGAGUACUUUUUACUGAGAUAAGGAGAUAAGGUGAGAUUGUGACUCAUCUUAUUGCUUAUUGGCAGCGUUGGUGUUUUUAUCACUAUUGAAAAAAGGGAGACUGUGCCAAAGUUUUCAAGAGUUUUUCAUAACUUUAGGAAGAAGGAGGAUCCUGUAAACCCAUAUAAACCCAUAUAAACCCCCUUAUAAAAUCUCUGAAUGAGAAAUAUUUUCCUCAAUAUUUUAAACAUUGUACUGCAUUUAUCUGAUUGAGACAUUGGGAGAGCGAGAGUUUUCUGUUCUGCUAUCACCAGUGUGUGCUUUUACACAGUAGAGAGAGAGAGAGAGAGAGUAUACAUACAUUCUAGCUAUGUUCAUGUACAUACAGAUAAUAUGGCAGUAUUGGGUAGAUAGCCUAUACGGAUAUGCAUUUGUUAUAAAUGUCUCUCUAUUUAGCUCAAACUGAGCAUCGUAAUAGUCCCUUUCUGGGUUUAGAGAAGCUUUUUAUUAUGAUUUUUUUUUUUUCACUAUUACUUUACUAUUACUUUAACACUUUUUGUUGUUGUGAAUUUGUUGUGAAUUCUCACUGAUGUUAAUUCUCCCCUCUGUUCAACACUACUGAUUUGGUUGCACACACCCCCGAGAACAUAGUCAUUAGUGUUCUUGUGAACAUCUGGCUGAUGGUGUUUAAAUCUUUAUCUUGAAGCAAAGCAAAGGUUUGAAGGUUUGGUUCUAACAGUUUUUCCCCUUAACCCAAAUGCAUAUAUAUAUUUAUAUACAUAUAUAUAUAUAUAUACACUGUGGUAGGCCCCUGGGGUUAGGGGCGUGACCACUGUGACCCGGAAGGAGGAAGCACACAGAGAACACAGACACGGGGAGUAAAUGAAACUCAAAACAUACCUUUAUUCGGCUUUUAAACACCCUCCACCACACCCAAAACAAACUUAAACCAUAACUCAGCCCAAUGGGGCUCUAGAGUCUGUAGAAUGAACUUUAGUUUAGUUCUAAAGGUCCGUGCAGCCUCAGCCCUCAGCUCCCCAGUCAAGAGUUCUCCCAAAUGAUGGCGGAGGCUGAGUAUAUAUGCCUGUCUCAACUGGCGGCUCAAUCAGCCCUCAUGCGGGCCAGCUGAGACAGGCAUGGCUUUGCGCUCUGGCGUGGGGCGGACCCACAACUCCCCCACCUCCUCACGCCACAAUACAUAUAUAUAUAUAUAUAUAUAUAUAUAUAUAUAUAUAUAUAUAUAUAUAUAUAAAGCCUUACAGUACGUUUGCUCUAGAGCUACAAGCAGUAUGGAUACAGUCUCAUAUAAAAUAUCUAAGUAAAUAUGAAAUUUGUUUUGAUUUAGGUAUAGGCUACAGUGUUCAUAAAUGAGCAAAAAAACACCAAAUCACCAUUUUUCCAGUUUUCAACAUAAUAUGAAUCUGACAAUUCUGAACAAUGAUUUAUUCAUAAAAUAAAAAUGAAAUAUCCAUUAAUAAAUAAUUCAUUAAGAUAUUGAAACACUAAUUGUCAUCCUUUUAGAAGUGAAGGCUAAUACAAUAGGACACUUUUACAAAUUAAUUUCUAUAAUCUAAUUAUCUUUGUUAUAGAAAUUAUUGUGAAUUAUCUUGUAAAAUCGUUUAGAAAUGUGUGCUCUUUCAAGGUUGGCGGUCAAGGUCUGCAUUGUCCAUGAUGAAAGGACGAAUAGAAAUUAUCCAGAACUAAAUCAACCCCUGUUUUCUGUCUUUUGUGGCCAUUUUGGUGCAAGAUUUUUUGUCAGACAGCAAUGAAAUACAUAGCUAUAUAUGGCUAUUUGAGGCAUAUAGAUAUAAAUAUCAGACAUUUUCUUAUAUGUAGAAGCUGAUCCGUAAACAUCCGUGUAUAUUCUGCUUUUUUCGACUUAAUUUAAUACAUCAAAUAUCAGUUUCAAAAAUCAGUUAAAUAAAAUUUACAGAAAAAAAAAUCAUCAUUCCUAGUUUGGUGCAACCCUGCAUUUGGGUUAAGGUGGAGAAAGAGGUCAUUUUUGCUAAGCUUUGCUUUUUAAAAAAUAUAAACAUAUUUUUAUUGGUUUAUUUGUUAACACCAACCUGCCAUUCUUCAUUUUUUAACCAGAUAUAAAACACUGCAGAUGUGCCAUAAAAUAUAAUGUAAAGUGCAUGCUCUAGACUAUGAGCUAUGAGCAGCAGGUUAUUAAUUCAUUUUCAUUCAUUGUCUUCUGAUAUCAUAUGAUGCUCUUUAUAUGUAGCUAAGGAGGUGAGAUCAAGUUUAAAGUGGAUAUUUAAUAAUAUUUUAUUAUUUUUUAUCUCAUAUCCUUCCUUUAAUCUCAUAGACGUUAUUAAUAGUGCUUUUGUUAACACUAGAGGGUAAUAAAUAGUGCUGAAUGUAAUGGGCCCGGAGUGAAGUGCCUCUUCUGAACAGGGGUCGUAUAUAUUUGGAGUAUGUUAGCUGGAAUCCAUGCCUUUUAAAUCUUAUCGACUGUAAUAAAAUCUGCAGUGUAGAGCUGAUGCUAGAUCCACACUCUUUAACCUGUGAGGAUGUGUGUUUGAGUGUGUGUGUGUGUGUGUGUGUGUGUGUGUGCUCAGGCCUUCUUUCUAGCUCAUUUUUAACUGACCGUAGUGUUUGCUUGUUUUAUUUUAUUCUAUUUUAUUUUAUUUAAAGCUGCUUCUGUCUGUUUUUUUUAGGUGAAGGAGAAAAGCUGCUUAAACUGUUUAAAUUUCUUUGUUUUUUCAAAUCUUGAACUGUAUUGAACUGGUUGUUUUUCAUACCUCUUUUCAUGGUGCAAAAGCCAUUCUAGACUGACUCGUUGUCUCAUUUCUACAUCCAACCAGAGCCAAACCCAAAUGCAACUUUAGGAAAUAAUAUGUUUUUUUUAUUUUUGGCUUAUUUUUUUUUUUAUCAGUUUCAGAACUACAGAUCUUACUUCUUCUUUAAUAAUGAUCUAUAUGCUUUAUAUCAAAUCACAUAACUGCAGAAGAUGUAUCUCUUUCAGUGUAUCUGACAUAUUGAAUGUUUUAUGUUUUGUAACUAAUCAAAGUCUAGAAUUAUCUCAAUUUUUCUAGCUGAUCUUGCUGAUCUAGAACACUAAAUAUUGUAUUUUCUUUAUUUUUUAUCAUGCCAAGAAAGGAAAAAGAAAGACAGAUGAGAUAUGAUGACAAAUGAGAUACAGCAUGUUAUCACACCCUAUCAGAGCUGGUCCAGGGUCAGCUUAUAAAACUGUAUAUGUUUGUGUUAAAGGAGUACGACAUGCAAAAUCUGUAUUUUAAUGCAAUGCGAUUCCUGACUUUGUAACUGGUUUGGAGAAAGAUGAGACUUAUGAGUCUUAUCUUAGAAAACAGCCCUGAAAGUUCUGUUUAUCAGUAGUUAUAUACAGUAACUAGUUUUAUAUUAUUAUAUAGUUAUAUAGCCUUAGAAUUUGUGUUUUUCAGAGUAAACCAUAUGAUCGUGCAUGAUUGCAUGAAGUGACGCUAGUUUGGAAUACUGUGCUAAAUCUGUGCUAGACACCUGAAGAGGGUAUUUAAAAAAUAUAUAUAUAUAUAUAUUUUGGUAUUAUUUACUCAGAAAAACACAAAUUCUCGAAUAAAUUCAAAUUCUGUUAAUACAAAACCUUAUGUUAUAUGCCUUUAUCCCAAUUAUGCAAUGAACACACGUGUCUGGUGAGCAGUAAGGGUUAAUAUCUUUUUGCUUCAGUGCCCAGAAAUGGAAGUUUGAUAAACUUAAACCUAUUGAAACCACAACCUGGUCAUCAGUAACCAAUCACGAUUGUUGUAGAAACAUAAUUCCAUUUCUGGGGACUUAAGAAUUGCUUAUUAAAGUAUGGAUUUUGCAUUCAGACACUAAUUUCUGGCUCCAUUCUUGUGGUGCACCUGAUACAAUAUGUGCUGCACAUGUAGCCCAUGGAGCUACAACAUCUUGACACAUAUGUAGGCCAUGGUGCUAAACUGUUUGAUGCAUCUGUAGUCCAUGGUACAUUAACCUGGACCAUGAUCUUGAUACAUUAUUUCUCAUAAAAGAGAAGAAAAGACAUUUAUCAUAGACAGAAAUGGACAAGAGUUGAUUACUUCUGUUAUAAGCCAACUUUGGCUUAUCAGCUUUUCUGUUCUUUUACUAAAUACAGGGAAUCGCAUUAAGACUUUUUUUUUUUUUUUUGGAGACCAUAUGGUACAGAUGCACCUGAAACAUGUUCGUCUAUUCCUUUAACACUGGCCAGUAACAAGUUCUCCUCGUAUAAGUACUUAAGCCAGUGUACUAAGACUCUACUAACAGUUUAAAACUUCUUCUGAGGCCAAGACUAGACCCUGUUUAUGCCAAAUGAAUGGAGGCGUGCUUUAUAUUUCAGUGUAAGCUACUGUUUCUGCUCUCGUUUUUAUUUGUAUUUUUUCCGUUUCCUGGAUAUGUAACCAAAGCCAGUGGAAAGACUGUUACCAGGCACCGAGGUUACUGUGCUCAUGCUGUUUUCCUCUCAUUUCAGUCAGUUUAAAACGUUUCAUCAGUUCAGAACAAUGACCGUCAUAAACCAUACAAAAGCCAUAAAGAGGAGGCUGGGAUCUCUGUGGUCUCUCUGUGGCUAGCUGCUAAAAACAAGUCACACUAAAAAUCAAUUGUAACAAACGUGUCAUUAUUUUUUAUUUUUUUAUUUUUUUCAUACUGUAGGUCCCUAAACUAACUGCCUAGCUAGUGUCUAAGUGUGUUUGUGUCUUGUGAAAAUUAGGGAAAUAGAUUGGCUACAUGGACAAAUGCAUUCAAUAGCCGUUACUGUAUGCCUGCCUAUACAUGUAAUCAUUUUAUGUCAAUCUAUCUUAGCUCCAGAUUUUACCUUUUGUCAUGCCAGUAUUUUUAGACCACACUUUUUGAUACUGAACAUUUUAUUUUGAAAUACAAAAAUAUUAUACAUUCCAAAAAAGAUUUAUUUAUCUGCAUCGUUUUUAUUUCUUCUUAUUUUUAAAACUCACAUUAAAAGACUGCCAUGUACUAUAUGUCAUAACUGACUUGUAACAAUCAUAGAUAAUAUAUUUAAUAUGGCAAAUAAAUUAUAGUCAUUAUAUGUAUUCA
Long non-coding RNA from Astyanax mexicanus (Mexican tetra), 6370 nucleotides. RefSeq lists it as uncharacterized. NCBI's taxonomy places the organism in Eukaryota, Metazoa, Chordata, Actinopteri, Characiformes, Acestrorhamphidae. The transcript has 2 exons. The record is from RefSeq and is a predicted model, not a curated record.